GGUUCGAUUCUGGCCUGAUUGAACAAAGGCGGGAUGCUUUACACAUGCAAGUCGAAUGGCAGCACGGACUUCGGUCUAAUGGGCGAGUGGCGGAACGGCAGUAAGCGAAUGGAACGUGCCUAGUAGCGGGGGAUAACUACGCGAAAGCGUACAAUACCGCAUACGGCCCUUCGGGGGAAAGCGGGGAUCCCGGGCCUCGCACCGCUAGAGCGGGCUGAUGGCCGGAUUAGUACAGGGUAACGGCUCACCAAGGCGACGAUCCGUAGCUGGUUUGAGAGGACGAUCAGCCGCCACACUUGGGACUGAGAUUACGGCCCAGACUCCUACGGGAGGCAGCAGUGGGGAAUUUUGAUUACCGGGAACUCCUGAUCCAGCCAUCCCGCGUGUGCGAUGAAGGCCUUCGGGUUGUAAAGCACUUUUGGCAGGAAAGAAACGGCACGGAUACACACUGUGCAACUGACGGUACCUGCAGAAUAAGCACCGGCUAACUACGUGCCAGCAGCCGCGGUAAUACGUAGGGUGCAAGCGUUAAUCGGAAUUACUGGGCGUAAAGCGUAAGUGCAGGCGGUUCGAAAGAAAGAUGUAAAUCCCCAGAGCUUAACUUUGGAACUGCAUUUUUAACUACCGAGCUAGAGUAAGUCAGAGGGAGGAAUUCCGCGUGUAGCAGGAAAUGCAGAUAUGCGGAGAACACCGAUGGCGAAGGUGAAUUUUGGAUAACACUGACGCUCAUGCACGAAAGCGUGGGGAGCAAACAGGAUUAGAUACCCUGGUAGUCCACGCCCCAAACGAUGUCAACUAGGCUGUUGGGGCCUUCGGGCCUGGUAGCGCAGCUUAACGCGGUGAAGACACCGCCUGGGAGUAUGGUCGCAAGAUUAAACUCAAAGGAAUUGACGGGGAUCCGUAAUGAGCGGGUGAUGUGGAUUAAUUCGAUGCAACAUGAAAAACCACUACUUGACAUGUCUGGAAUCCCGAAGAGAUUUGGGAGUGCUCGCAAGAGAACCGGAACACAGGUGCUGUAUGGCUGUCGUCAGCUCGUGUCAGAGAUGUUGGGUUAAGUCCCGCAACGAGCGCAACCUUUGUCAUUAGUUGUUGGCGACAGCGGGCACUAAUGAGACUGCCGGUGACAAACCGGAGGGUGGAUGACGUCAAGUCCCCAUGGCCCCGGCGGUGCAGGGCUUCACGCCAUACAAUGGUCGGGACAGAGGGUCGCCAACCUGGCGAGGGAUGCUAAUCCCAGAAACCCGAUCGUAGUCCGGACGUAGUCUGCACCUGAUCGUGUCGGAAUCGCUAGUAAUCGCGGACUGUAUAUGUCGCGGUGAAUACGUUCCCGGGUCUUGUGCACACCGCCCGUCACACCAUGGGAGUGGGUUUUACCAGAAGCGUAGUUAGCCUAACCGUAAGGAGGGCGAUUACCACGGUAGAUUCAUCGGGGUGAAGUCGUAACGUG
This 1447-nucleotide ribosomal RNA is filed under the name uncultured Bordetella sp. Its description in RNAcentral is "partial 16S-23S ribosomal RNA intergenic spacer". It matches the Rfam family "Bacterial small subunit ribosomal RNA". The record is from RNAcentral. Lineage: Bacteria; Pseudomonadati; Pseudomonadota; Betaproteobacteria; Burkholderiales; Alcaligenaceae.